This 639-nucleotide ribosomal RNA is filed under the name Triticum aestivum (bread wheat). Its description in RNAcentral is "partial small subunit ribosomal RNA". The record is from RNAcentral. Lineage: Eukaryota; Viridiplantae; Streptophyta; Magnoliopsida; Poales; Poaceae.
AUGCGCAAGGCAAGGGACGUUGGCGUCGGAGCACAACAGAACCCUGGCAUCCACGGCAGUGAGGCUCUCGAGCUUGGGGAGAGACCGGAGCUUGACCGUCAUCAACGGGCCGUCAGCGACAAGCUCUCUGAUUUCUUACAUGGGCGCGUCGAACACCAGCCAACGGGCCGUAUCCUUGUCGAAGGAGCAGGCGACGAGAUGCAGAACCCGCAGCUGCGGGCACGCAGCGACCACGCCCUCGUAGACGGCCGCCGGCGUAGAGCAGGGCAGGUCCCGCAGCAGCAGCGUGGUGAGCGCGGUGAAGCCAUCCAGCGGCGGGGGCAAGCAAUUGACGAGCUUGAGGCUUCGAAGGCGGGACUCGCCGGGCUUCCUGCUGAUACGACCACGGGGGAACGUGUAGACCGGACGAAGAUGUGUGAUCGGCUCCGUCGACUUGGCAACGACCUCCAGAUCCUCGACACCCCAGGAAUCGACGGCGUCCACGACCAAGCGGUUGAUGCUGGCGGAGGUGCUGAAGGCGAAGAACUCGAGCGACAGCCUGCUGCACGCACGCCGGUGGCGGCGGGCUCUGAGGCUCCUGACGGAGCUGACCAUGGCGCGCAUGGCGCGGCGCUCGUACCGCCCGAUGAUGGGGCGUAG